CGGCUUCAGCAGGCGCGAAAACUUCACACUGUGCGAAAGCGCGAUGAGGGAAUCCCAAGUGUUUGCUCGUAAGAGUAAACUGUUUCUUUGUUUAAAACGCAGAGAGAGUAAGGGCUGGGUAAGACGGGUGCCAGCCGCCGCGGUAAUACCUGCAGCUCAAGUGGUGAUCAUUAUUAUUGGGCCUAAAACGUCCGUAGCCGGUUUAGUAAAUGCCUGGGUAAAUCGUGUAGCUUAACUAUACGACUUCCGGGUAGACUGCUAAACUUGAGACCGGGAGAGGCUAGAGGUACUCCUGGGGUAGAGGUGAAAUUCUGUAAUCCUAGGGGGACCACCAGUGGCGAAGGCGUCUAGCUAGAACGGGUCUGACGGUGAGGGACGAAGCCCUGGGGCGCAAACCGGAUUAGAUACCCGGGUAGUCCAGGGUGUAAACGCUGCUUGCUUGAUGUUAGUUGGGCUCCGAGCCCAACUAGUGUCGGAGAGAAGUUGUUAAGCAAGCUGCCUGGAAGUACGUCGCAAGGC
RNAcentral lists this ribosomal RNA (519 nucleotides) under uncultured archaeon. Its description in RNAcentral is "bacterial SSU rRNA". It matches the Rfam family "Archaeal small subunit ribosomal RNA", at positions 327 to 849 of the family's 1478-position model. The record is from RNAcentral.